This 541-nucleotide ribosomal RNA is filed under the name Canoparmelia concrescens. RNAcentral's name for it is "partial small subunit ribosomal RNA". It matches the Rfam family "Bacterial small subunit ribosomal RNA", at positions 554 to 1087 of the family's 1533-position model. The record is from RNAcentral. Lineage: Eukaryota; Fungi; Ascomycota; Lecanoromycetes; Lecanorales; Parmeliaceae.
AUCGGUUUAAAGGGNACCUAGACGGUAGAUCAAGCUUUCAAAUAAAAAAAAGGACUAAUUUACCAGAGUUACUUNUGAGGGGGUAGUAAAGUACUGGUGGUGUAGAGAUGAAAUUCUGUCAUACCUCUUUUCAAAAGAAAACAUAUGGCACAGGUAUAGGCGAAGGCAUCCCCCCUAUGUGAUAACWGACGUUGAGGGACGAGGGCGACGUGGAACAAACAGGAUUAGAUACCCUCGUAGUUGUAGCAGAAAAUGAUGAAUGUCAUAGAUUAGAUGUAUAAGUUUAUUCUAUAAAUGAAAGUGURAGCAUUCCACCUCCAGAGUAAUUUGGCAACAUUGGAACUGAAAUCAUUAGACCGUUUCUGAAACCCGUAGUGAAGUAUGUUGUUUAAUUUGAUGAUCCGCAAAAAACCYUACCACAAUUUGAAUAUAUAUAUAAUUUAUUGUUUUUUCAUAAUUUAGAAAUAAAAAGGCAAUAAAACAUAUUUACNAGCGUUGCACGGCGGUCUUCAGUUAAUGUCGUGAGACUUUGGUUAGUUCC